RNAcentral lists this long non-coding RNA (1179 nucleotides) under Fukomys damarensis (Damara mole-rat). Its description in RNAcentral is "lncRNA (ENSFDAG00000023782.1)". Lineage: Eukaryota; Metazoa; Chordata; Mammalia; Rodentia; Bathyergidae. The record is from RNAcentral.
GGCUGAGGUGCUUUUUAUGAGGUUUUUCUAAACAAAGAGUCAGGGAAUUUACAGAACAAGACUGCGAACACAUUGCUUAUUUCAUGCAGAGUUAGCGAUUAGCAUAUGAAAAAGCACGGUCUCUGGUCUAUUAGCAUGGAGUCACUUUAGCUUAUUCAAGUCUUACACCUUCUGAUCCCAAUUCCUGAAACUCAUUGCACUUGGGAGAUUGUUGACGACUGCCUCUCCUCCCACUGCAAGCUGUAGAGGUCGGGAGACAUCUGUGUCCUCAUCGCAUCUGUUGCUACCUAACGGAGAACUUCAGAAAUAACAGCCACCGCAGUCACAGUCAUUGUCCUGGUAGCUGUGGAAACAGCAACAGUAACAAAACACAGCUGGUCCGCCGAGGGCUCGCAGUGGACCCGUCACGGCCGCCCACAUUGUGCGCAGACUCACAAGCCUGCUCCUCCCUUAGCCCUCAUGGUCUCCAUGUCACAAAGCGGGAAACUGAGGCUGAGAGAGACUUGCUGACUUCCCAAGUCUGAGAGUCCAAAGCCCGACCUCUAGCAACCGCGUCUCUACCUUUGUGGACCGUGUGACUAAAGGUGGAGUCCUUCAAACAAAAUUUAUCUGGGAAAAAGUAAGGCUCCGAGCUGUGCAAUCCUUGCACACCCUAAAUGACCGGAUUUCUCACUUUAUCGUCACCAAGUCGAAGGCACUGGAAGAAGACAAAGACUCUUUUCUACCCACUGAGAAAGAGAUUCUGAACAGCUCCAUGAUUUUGAUGAGGCUCCUUUUCCUGGGUGCUCAGCAUUAUUUACUGAGGCGAGCACACGCUUGGGGCACGGGAAGGUGGCAUGGCUCCUGGUGAGGCCUCCGCUGGAAAACUAAGUGCCAAAGGCCAGACACCUCCCUGCAGCCUGGCUCCUUCUGCUGGCCCCGCUAUGAAGAACGGCCUAGGAGAGGCUCAUGUUUUAUGGAUCCGUGGCCGGAGCAGUUCUUGGGGAGAGAACAGCUACAGCUUACCUGCAUGGGUCAGUGAAUGACAUAAAACCAGCAGCCAAGGAGUGUGACAGACUCAGUGCUGCACCCCUGUGUUCUUAAAAGAAAAGAAGACACAAGAACGGUGAACACAUCUGUGAUUUUUGUACAUCUACCAAAAAAUAAUCUGCUAAAAUGGCCUUAAAGUAAAUACAGAAA